RNAcentral lists this ribosomal RNA (252 nucleotides) under uncultured bacterium. RNAcentral describes it as "partial 16S ribosomal RNA". It matches the Rfam family "Bacterial small subunit ribosomal RNA", at positions 524 to 775 of the family's 1533-position model. The record is from RNAcentral.
UACCGAGGCUGCAAGCGUUAUUCGGAUUCACUGGGCGUAAAGGGUGCGCAGGUGGCCAAGUGUGUUAGGCGUGAAAGCCCGGGGCUUAACCCCGGAAUUGCACCUAAAACUACUUGGCUAGAGCAUUGGAGAGGGGAGCAGAAUUCAUGGUGUAGCAGUGAAAUGCGUAGAUAUCAUGAGGAAUACCAGAGGCGAAGGCGGCUCCCUGGACAAUUGCUGACACUCAGGCACGAAAGCGUGGGGAGCAAAGGG